CGGAUUGUAGGCUGCAACUCGCCUACAUGAAGCUGGAAAAUUCGCUAGUAAUCGUGGAUCAGCAUGCCACGGUGAAUACGUUCCCGGGUCUUGUACACACCGCCCGUCACACCACGAAAGUUUGUAACACCCAAAGUCGGUGGGGUAACCGUAAGGAGCCAGCCGCCUAAGGUGGGACAGAUGAUUGG
RNAcentral lists this ribosomal RNA (188 nucleotides) under uncultured soil bacterium. RNAcentral's name for it is "partial 16S ribosomal RNA". It matches the Rfam family "Bacterial small subunit ribosomal RNA", at positions 1294 to 1478 of the family's 1533-position model. The record is from RNAcentral.